Molecule: long non-coding RNA, 1928 nt
Organism: Xenia sp. Carnegie-2017
Lineage: Eukaryota; Metazoa; Cnidaria; Anthozoa; Malacalcyonacea; Xeniidae
Exons: 8
Source: RefSeq, a predicted model, not a curated record
GAGCCUUAAGUCAGUUAAAAGUUGAAAUAUGUCACAGCUGCAUAGUUGAUGCAGGAGUGCUCAGAAGUGUGCUCUGAAGAGUGCAUCCUUUAUAUGGUCAAAUAUUUUUCUAACUUGGACGAGUCAUUGCAAUGCGUCACUGCAAUUUGCUUUCUUGGAAGAAGCCAAUCACUAAUCUUUUAUAAGUUAUAACAUAUUUGUGAAAGUGCAAAACUAGGGAACAAGUUUUAUCAGCAGUUUCCCUAAUUUGUGGUAAUUUGUCAGCUCAAAAAGGUGCAAAGAAAGAUUGAUUCCUUCUGUGUUCUAACUCCAUCACUAAACUUGUAAGAUACAGGGCCAGGACUCAAGUGAUUGUGACUUUGUUAACGAUGCCUGGAAUCAAGAUCCGUGAUGAAGAUCGAGAAAAAAUCCCAGCGAAGUAUAUUUGUACUUACUGUCAUCACCUUCUCAUCAAUCCAAUGCAGACCUCGUGUGGACAUUUGUUUUGUAAAUCUUGUAUGAACAUUAUUCUUGGGUUUUCCAGGAUGCUUUUACGAAGCGUGAGUUAAAAAGGAUUCAAUUACACUGUCCAUCUGAAGCGUGUAAAUGGUUUGGUACAUACGAAGAAUUGGAGGGUCAUUCUCAUGUUUGUGAGCAUGCGCUCAUCAGCUGUAUUCAUAAACAGUGUAACAUUCAGUUGCCUCGCUCUCUUCUUGGUAAACAUUUGAAGAAUGAAUGUGAAUAUGAAAUGUAAAAUGUGAAUAUUGUGGUAAAGAUGUCCCGUAUGCUUCACUUAAGGAUCACAAAGAAAAUGUAUGUGAAAAUUAUCCCGCGAUUUGUAAAUAUUGCAAUCAAAUAAUACCGAAGAAAGAUACUGAACACCAUGAAAAGACGACUUGUAAUGAAGUGCCGACAAAAUGUGAAUUUCAAGCCAUUGGAUGCAGUUAUGACAAAACUUUAAAACGAAAGGAGAUCCGUCAACAUUUGAAUGACAAUCUAAUUGAUUACGUGAGCGCCUUGUUACGAUAUGUUAUGGCAUUUGUUAAACAGUUAAGUAACUAUAUACCGCGUCCAGAGUUUACUACUUUUGUUCAAAACUUGGGUGACCGAAUCACUGCUGUUCGUGCCAAUCUUUCAGACAAAUUUUUGAUGUUAUUUGGAAAACUUACAGGCUUAGAAAGGAGAAUUGAGAGUCUAGAAAGUCGUUAUGGGAGCAAUAAUAAUAACACUUAAUUGUCUGUAGAUGUUUCCUCGAUGUGUGAAAGGAUUGCGACCCUCGAGCGGCAAGCAAGAGAUAAUUCAUUCAUGAUAGUACAGUUUUACGAGCGUUUCGGCCAUAUUGACGAAUCAUUUGCGCGAAUUCAAGGCAUGGCUGACCAAGUCCCUGCUUUUUUUGUCAAUCUCUUUGAAAAAGUGGAAAUUUUAGAGCGUGAAGUGAGAUCUAAUACAUCUACUAUACAAUGGACUAGCGAGCGUUUGGACGAGGUAGACGAAUUACGUGUGCAAAACCCGGCUAUGGGAGCACAAAAUGAAGCGCGCGAACUUUGAUUAAAUCAUGCAAAGCAAUUAUUGCUAUUUUUCGUAAUUACUCGCCAAUUUAUUAUUAUUUUUCACUCCUGUAAAUGAUAUUUAUUCUAUUCAGUUUCAUACGUUAGUAAUUUUGAAGAAUGUUCAUUGUAUUUUUUUAUUGUAUUAUCCAUCCACGAUGAUAGAAUAUCCUUGUAAAUUAAUAAUACAAUUGUGUUGAUAUCAUGCUAUAUUGUAUUGUAAAUGUAAUUUAACAUGCAGCUUUGAUAUAGAAAGAUCAUAAAGUGAUGUCCAUUUAUUUGUAAUUUAUAUUACUGUAUGUUUUAUCUGAAAACUCCAUACAUAAAUAGUCUGUGAAGAGCUACCGUUUCUUUGUUCUGUAAGUACAAUUAAAUAAAUAAAAAAGAAAUUUGCUAAUUAAA